Molecule: long non-coding RNA, 1665 nt
Filed under: Manduca sexta (tobacco hornworm)
Lineage: Eukaryota; Metazoa; Arthropoda; Insecta; Lepidoptera; Sphingidae
Description: uncharacterized LOC115454918
Source: RNAcentral
AUGGUCGUAAGACUAUAGCCUGUCCUCUAAGGACGAAGAAUAAAAAAGAAAAAAUGACAUUGACGUUUUGUUUCUGACGGAAAUCUGUUAUGAUUUUUUAGACGUUAAAAAAUUAAGAGUUUCCUGACUUAACUUUUCUUUUUUAUUAUAAUUAUUCUCUAAGACGUGCGUAUUACAAUCCCAGAAACAAUGACAGAGAAAAACGCACAAGUUGGACAAGCACGGGAAGCCUUCCAACUAAUGCAUCAGAUAUCUCAACUCCUAAGCACGGGGCUCGAUGCGGAAACUCUUUCGACAUGUAUCAGGCUGUGCGAGUUGGGCGUAGACCCUGAAGUAUUGGCGCACGUCAUCAAGGAAAUAAGGAAGAUGGGCGAAAAUGCAACACAAAACAAAAUUGGUAAUGUACAUUCGUGACGGUAGAAAAAUGACCCGUUAAAGAAUUGUGUGAAUUGCCUUUAUUUUAAUUACCCUAUUUCAAACAAGUUUGUUACAUUACCAUUGACAAUUUCUGGCAAAUGUUAUUUUCUAUUCUGAUAUAUGUAGUUAUUGUUGCUGUUGUAUAGCAAAAUGUGAUGUGAUAGUUAAUUGGAUGUAAAAUGUACAAUAUCUGGAUUCUAUUUUAAUCAUAAAAGCUUCAUACCAUCAGAUAUAGGGUUAACUGGACUGUAUCUGCCUAUUCUAAAGGGUAAUGUGCACUUAAAUUAAACAUGACAUUUUUUAUUGUAAUUUGAUAAGUAUUUCUCAGUUCUAUAUGUAUUGAACUAGCUUAUAUUAAUAUUUGAAUCCAUUACAUUUAAUUUUCUUGUGCUAUAUACUUCUCAUUAGAUUAAAAUGACAAUUGUAAAUUCCCUAAUGACUACAAUAAGUCUGACUUGCCCCAAUUUACUCAAAUAUUAUUAACUGAAAUGUAAAUAAUUGUAAUUUAAUAUUGUAUUGUAAUAAUGAAUAAAACAACUAAUUUUAAUUAUAAAACUGUUUUAAUAACUAACACUAUAAAACAUAGGACUUUCCAUUUCACAGAAUGCUACAUGUCAAAAUAAAUGGCAUUUAUUUUUUUAAGCAUUAUGUAAAACUAAUUGGAUUAGGGAACAAAUAUUGAUCACAACCAGUAUAAACAAUAAUGCCUUGUCUCUCACAACUAUAUGGAAAAAAAUAAAUAAGUUGUGAACGACAAACAUGUGGCAGUCUAUGAAAUGGUUACAGAUUCUUUCUAGAUUAAAAAAUAUAUUCCUGCAGGCUAGUUACUCUAAGCAUUUAAUAAAAUGCUUGCUAGGUGAAUAAAAAUUAACACAACAGUUUUAAUAUUUGGAUUAAGUUAUUUAAGGUUUUACUUUAUACAAUUCAACAAAUUAAUCUAUGUGGGAUAUUUUAAUAAACUACUUAACAUUGGGAUAUAGUGUAUUUUGCCACUCGCAAACCUGUCCAUCAAUAUAUUGUUAAUAAAACCACAAGUUUUCUAAUCUAAAAAGAAUCUUACAUAAAUAACAUGUCAUUGAGCUUUGGAUGAAUUAAACCAUGUGCAUUGUCGGAGACCUGCGACAAGUGAAAUUUAUGCAAACAGCACAGUGCUGCUAAUAUCACAGAUGCAAAAUAAAUCACUUGUGUCAUCAAAGAUCUGAAUUCAAUUGAAUAUUUACUGUAAUAAACAAAAUUAUAAAAGUCAAA